This 484-nucleotide ribosomal RNA is filed under the name uncultured bacterium. RNAcentral describes it as "partial 16S ribosomal RNA". It matches the Rfam family "Bacterial small subunit ribosomal RNA", at positions 30 to 507 of the family's 1533-position model. The record is from RNAcentral.
AUUGAACGCUGGCGGCAGGCCUAACACAUGCAAGUCGAGCGGAUGAAGGGAGCUUGCUCCUGGAUUCAGCGGCGGACGGGUGAGUAAUGCCUAGGAAUCUGCCUGGUAGUGGGGGAUAACGUCCGGAAACGGGCGCUAAUACCGCAUACGUCCUGAGGGAGAAAGUGGGGGAUCUUCGGACCUCACGCUAUCAGAUGAGCCUAAGUCGGAUUAGCUAGUUGGUGGGGUAAAGGCCUACCAAGGCGACGAUCCGUAACUGGUCUGAGAGGAUGAUCAGUCACACUGGAGCUGAGACACGGUCCAGACUCCUACGGGAGGCAGCAGUGGGGAAUAUUGGACAAUGGGCGAAAGCCUGAUCCAGCCAUGCCGCGUGUGUGAAGAAGGUCUUCGGAUUGUAAAGCACUUUAAGUUGGGAGGAAGGGCAGUAAGUUAAUACCUUGCUGUUUUGACGUUACCAACAGAAUAAGCACCGGCUAACUUCGUG